Molecule: non-coding RNA, 1387 nt
Organism: Taeniopygia guttata (zebra finch)
Lineage: Eukaryota; Metazoa; Chordata; Aves; Passeriformes; Estrildidae
Source: RefSeq, a predicted model, not a curated record
GUUUGUCCGUAGCUGAGGGAGAAGCCCAGCGCCUCCUGCCCGCAUGGAAAGGGUGCCGAGAGGAAUCUCCCGUCACAUCUCCCACCUGGGCACCCCGCGGGCCGGCCCUGCCGCCCCAUCAAAAAGCGCUUCCUGCCAAAACCACCUCUCCUGGCAGCGGUUGGAAGGAGAAAGCUGUCUUUUAACAAACUCAGCAAUUUAUGAAGAGGCAUGACUGGUGUUAUCCAAGGAGAUUUUUAAUCUUAAACCCUCCUGUUCUCAAUUAAAAGUAUAGUUGAAGAAAACCCAGCCAGAAACAUUUUCAGACAUACAAGUGCUUUUCCAGAUCUGAGGACCUCUAAGAGCCCAUGCACCCUAAGCAGAAGAAGACAGGUUUAAAUGGAUGUAGUAUGAUAGACCUGGAGUCCUCAUAUGUGCAAUUUCUUCCUUUCCGGGCACGGUUUUCUCUUACUCCAAUCCAUUCUAUAUUGACGUUAAAUAGCCAAGUACUCAACUGUGCACUAAGUCCUGGACUUCAUUAGAAUAUAAGUAUGCAUUGGAAUUCAUUAGAUCUCUACACUAUCCAUUAUUUUCCUCAUGGCAUCAGCAGGCCUCAGACGCAUCUGAUUGGAGCAAUUUGUUAAAUCCAUGGCAAUUGCACUAAUAAGCCGAGUUACACCCAGAACCUCUACAGCGGGAGCAGAUAUAGUCCUUUAUUCUCUAAUUUCCAUCACUUCUCCACAGUAAGUAAACUCUGUGACUUUGCCUUGAACUUAAUGCCUAAAAAAUACCUCUCCAUUCACAGUUUUCUUUUACCACAACACCCCAGACAUCUUCAGUUUCUGAAUAUUGUCAGUGAUGGCAGCCAGAUAUCUAUGACACAGACAACAAAAGCUUUCCAUCUGCACCAGAGGCCUUUGAAGGAGAAAGUAAUGUUCUGGACUCUGUUGGACUGAUUCUGACUGUACGUUGCUCCUGUGAAGACAUCAGAGGCUGCUAAGCACAAAGGGGAUUCAAAAGCCUGUCCUGGUUUAGGGCAAAUGUGGGUGGGAGAAAACCUCCAAAGAGGCUCCUCUAGAAAGCAGAUUCAAGCAGCCCCUCCCCCAAAUGGUUUGGGAAAAUAUUUCCUUGGAGAAAAGUGGAAAAAAACGCUGUUUAUUUAGCAGGCAAAGCAUUCACCAGAAAAAAAAAAAAAAAAAAAUUAAACAAUGAACUCUUGCCAACCAGAAGAGGUGACAAGCUCAGAAAGUCCCCUUGGUGGCUGUAGCUCAGCUCACCCAGUCUCUGAUCAGUCCCUGCAGUGCUGGAAAUGCCACGGCCCAGGCCCGGCCCCGUGGGCCACAGGUGCGAGCUGCCGGUGCUCUGCUGGUGUUCAGUCCAGAGCAGGUUUGAACAGGUCCAAGAAAAA